RNAcentral lists this small RNA (573 nucleotides) under uncultured fungus. RNAcentral's name for it is "eukaryotic LSU rRNA". The stretch from base 201 to 355 matches the Rfam family "5.8S ribosomal RNA". The record is from RNAcentral. Lineage: Eukaryota; Fungi.
AAGUCGUAACAAGGUUUCCGUAGGUGAACCUGCGGAAGGAUCAUUAUUGAAAUAAAGGGUUGUCUGCUGGCCUCUCGGGGCACGUGCACGCCCAAAUCCACAACACACCUGUGAACCCACCGUAGGCCCUCGGGCUUAUGUAUAUCAUAUACUCUGAUCAUAGAAUGUAAAUAUUUUGCCUUAAAAACGCAAUGAAAUACAACUUUCAACAACGGAUCUCUUGGCUCUCGCAUCGAUGAAGAACGCAGCGAAAUGCGAUAAGUAAUGUGAAUUGCAGAUUUUCAGUGAAUCAUCGAAUCUUUGAACGCACCUUGCGCUCCUUGGUAUUCCGAGGAGCAUGCCUGUUUGAGUGUCAUUAAAUUCUCAACCCCAGCGGUUCGUUGGGGCUUGGACUUGGAGCGUGCUGGCGAAGGUCGGCUCCUCUUUAAAUGCAUCAGCGGAAAAACAAACUUUCCCUUCAGCGUGAUAAUCCUGUUGCGCUGUGGUGGGUCAAGGUCCGCUCACAAUCGUCCUCGGACAAAAAGACACAUCUGUUUUGACCUCAGAUCAGGUAGGACUACCCGCUGAACUUAA